This 119-nucleotide ribosomal RNA is filed under the name Pteropus alecto (black flying fox). The record is from RNAcentral. Lineage: Eukaryota; Metazoa; Chordata; Mammalia; Chiroptera; Pteropodidae.
GUCUACGGCCAUGCCACCCUGAAUGUGCCUGAUCUCGUCUGAUCUUGGAAGCUAAGCAGGGUUGGGUCUAGUUAGUACUAGGAUGGGAGAUCACCUAGGAAUACCAGGUGCUGGAGGCA